CGUGAGAACCAAAGCCACUGAGAUUGGAGCUGGAGGUUGUUAUGAGUCCUCACCAUUGUAGUCUUCCAGAUUGAAUCAUCUAAAGCUUUUCACAGCUUUUGCAUUGACAUCAACACCCUUUAAAUCAUCCGAACUGUGAGAUUUUGAUGUAAGGAAUUCAUCAAAAUUCUGGUUUGACAUUAGAGUUGGGAUUUACGAAUAAGAAUGGCAACGGGGCGGGGAUUACAUUUCCCAUCGCUGACCCCGACCCCCAAAUCACCCCCCAUCCCUGUCCUCGACUCCCAAAUCAUCACAGGAUGACACUUAACCAACAAUGCCGGCGUCAACAGGUGAAACUCUCUCUCUCUCUCUUAUGGAUUUCCUUAACCGUUUGGUUGAUUUUUCCCUCCACCGGACAACACAAAUUGGCAACGUUAAGGUUAGCAGUGUGGAUUCUAUCUAGGCUACCCUAAUCACUUCUCACCAAUCCAUACGACAUACAAAGGAUUGUUGGAUUGUUAUAGCCACAACCACUGCUUUGUCUGAGUCAUCUCAACAACCUCCAGAAACAGCGGCAACUCCAGAAGUCCCGGCCCAAGCCCUGACGGCAACGCCAACCAAGAAGAAAUGGUUUGAGUAGCCUAGCGAUAGCAUUUUCUGUCUCAUAGUCCAUGUUCUUAAGGUCAGUAGAAUCAUCGACCGCAAGGGCGAACUAGUCAAGAAGAUAUGCAAGGAGACUCGCACUCGCGUUCGCAUUCUAGAUUGACCCAUUGGCACUUCUGAUCACAUUGUGUGCUCGUGUGAUGAUACACUGGUUUUCAGAUGAUACAGAAUCAUGGCAUGUUGAUUAUGGCAUAUAUGUAACUUGGUUUUCAGAUGAUAUACACUGGUUUCAUUACAAAGAUUCAUGAGGUUACCUAGUCCACCCCUUCCAAGAGCCCCAGAUCAGUGGAAUCAUCAUAAGUGUUUCAUGGCCUUCCACGUGGACCCAAAUGUUCUUGACAGAACCCAAUAGGGGAAGAUGAUCAAUUCUAGCUGGGGUUUUGGGCUUACAAAUGUUCUUGACAGAACCCAAUAAGGGAAAUCCUGGUACGAUGUACACAUGACAAAAAUAGCGGUCUUCAAGCGCAUAUUAUUUUUCAGGUCUGAUACUCCUGUACAAAAAUGAUAUCCAUUUACAACUCUUCAUCUCUUCCAUCCAUGAACAGGGGAGAAAGAAUUUAUGAAGGGAAUUGAUUUAUUUUCUGUUUCAAACUCCCCUUGUUAAAGCAUUAAUGCCACUGGAUGCCAGAUCAACUCAGCAGACUGUUGUAGGCUGAGUGUCCCCUUUGGUCACCUUCUGCUGCAAUAUUUCUGAUGUUCUUGGGGGUGAAAAAUAGUUUAUUUAUUUAUUUUGUUCCGAGAAUACCAGAAUCAUUCCAUUGGUGCA
Molecule: long non-coding RNA, 1408 nt
Organism: Nelumbo nucifera (sacred lotus)
Lineage: Eukaryota; Viridiplantae; Streptophyta; Magnoliopsida; Proteales; Nelumbonaceae
Source: RefSeq, a predicted model, not a curated record